UAUUUGCAGCAAUCCUGAGAACAUAGACUGCAGAGCCAAGGAAUUACCAGGUACUCCUUUAAAUAUGUUGGGUCAAAAGGUUACAUGUGAUCCUGAGGUCGGACUGAUUUGCAACAACAAGGAUCAAGAAGGACCAGCAAUAUGCUACAACUAUGAGAUCAGAGUCAGUUGUUGUACUAUUUGUCACACAACAACCCCACCAACUACUACUCCAGUUACAACUACACCCCCAACAACUACCCCUACCACAACCCCAUCAACUACAACUAUGAUUACAACUACACCCCCAACAUCUACCCCUACCAUAACCCCAUCAACUACCACAGAAACAACUACUCCCCCAACAUCUACCCCUACCAUAACCCCAUCAACUACCACAGAAACAUCAACACCCCAAACAUCUACCCCUACCAUUACCCCAUCAACUACCACAGAAACAACUACACCCCCAACAUCUACCCCUACAAUAACCCCAUCAACUACCACAGAAACAACUACACCCCCAACAUCUACCCCUACCAUAACCCCAUCAACUACCACAGAAACAACUACACCCCCAACAUUUACCCCUACCAUAACCCCAUCAACUACCACAGAAACAACUACACCCCCAACGUCUACCCAUACCAUAACCCCAUCAACUUCCACAGAAACAACUACACCCCCAACGUCUACCCCUACCAUAACCCCAUCAACGACCACAGAAACAACUACACCCCCAACAUCUACCCCUACAAUAACCCCAUCAACUACCACAGAAACAACUACACCCCCAACGUCUACCCAUAGCAUAACCCCAUCAACUUCCACAGAAACAACUACACCCCCAACAUCUACCCCUACCACAACCCAAUCAACUACCACAGAAACAACUACACCCCCAACAUCUACCCCUACCAUAACCCCAUCAACUACCACAGAAAUAACUACACCCCCAACAUCUACCCCAACCAUAACCCCAUCAACUACCACAGAAACAACUACACCCCCAACAUCUACCCCUACCAUAACCCCAUCAACUACCACAGAAACAACUACACCCCCAACAUCUACCCCUACCAUUACCCCAUCAACUACCACAGAAACAACUACACCCCCAACAUCUACCCCUACCAUUACCCCAUCAACUACCACAGAAACAACUACACCCCCAACAUCUACCCCUACCAUUACCCCAUCAACUACCACAGAAACAACUACAUCCCCAACAUCUACCCCUACCAUUACACCAUCAACUACUACUAUAGAAGCAACUACAUCCCCAACAUCUACCCCUACCAUAACCCCAUCAACUACCACAGAAACAACUACACCCCCAACAUCUACCCCUACCAUUACCCCAUCAACUACCACAGAAACAACUACAUCCCCAACAUCUACCCCUACCAUUACACCAUCAACUACUACUAUAGAAGCAACUACAUCCCCAACAUCUACCCCUACCAUAACCCCAUCAUCUACCACAGAAACAACUACACCCCCAACAUCCACCCCUACGGGUACCUCAACGACUCCUCUUACACCCUGUCUGCCUGGUUGUCACUGGUCAGGUUGGAUUGACACUAACUAUCCCGAAUUUGGACCAGGUGGAGGAGAUUAUGAAAUUCUAGAAAAUAUUGUUAAAUCUCAUCCUAGUAUUUGCAGCAAACCUGAGAACAUAGACUGCAGAGCCAAGGAAUUACCAGGUACUCCUUUAAAUAUGUUGGGUCAAAAGGUUACAUGUGAUCCUGGGGUCGGACUGAUUUGCAACAACAAGGAUCAAGAAGGACCAGCAAUAUGCUACAACUAUGAGAUCAGAGUCAGUUGUUGUACUAUUUGUCACUCAACAACCCCACCAACUACUACUCCAGUUACAACUACACCCCCAACAACUACCCGCACCACAACCCCAUCAACUACAGAAACUACUACAUCCCCAAAAUCCACCCCUUACACAACCCCAUCAACUACAACUACGGUAACAACUACACCCCCAACAUCUACCCCUACCACCACCCCAUCAACUACAACUACAGAAACUACUACAUCCCCAAAAUCCACCCCUACCAUGACCCCAUCAACUACAACUACAGUUACAACUACACCCCCAACAUCCACCCCUACCAUAUCCCCAUCAACUAAAACUACAGUAACAGCUACACCCCAAACAUCUACCCAUACCAUAACCCCAUCAACUUCCACAGAAACAACUACACCCCCAACAUCUACCCCUACCACCACCCCAUCAACUACAACUACAGAAACUACUACAUCCCCAAAAUCCACCCCUACCAUGACCCCAUCAACUACAACUACAGUUACAACUACACCCCCAACAUCCACCCCUACCAUAUCCCCAUCAACUAAAACUACGGUAACAGCUACACCCCAAACAUCUACCCAUACCAUAACCCCAUCAACUUCCACAGAAACAACUACACCCCCAACAUCUACCCCUACCACCACCCCAUCAACUACAACUACAGAAACUACUACACCCCCAAAAUCCACCCAUAUCACAACCCCAUCAACUACAACUACGGUAACAACUACACCCCCAACAACUACCCCUACCAUUACCCCAUCAACGACUACUACAGAAACAACUACAUCCCCAACCUCUACCAAAACCCCAUCAACUACAACUACAGAAACUACUACAUCCCCAACAUCCACCCCUACCCCAACCCCAUCAACUUCAACUACGAUUACAACUACACCCCCGAUAUCUACCCCUACCACAACCCCAUCAACUACAACUACAGAAACAACUACAUCCCCAACAUCCACCCCUAUCACAACAUCAACCACAACUACGAUAACAACUACACCCUCAACAUCUACGCCUUCCACAACCCCAUCAACUACUACUACAAUAACAACCCCAACAUCUAUCUUUACCAUAACCCCAUCAACUACAACUACAGAAACGACUACAUCCCCAACAUCCACUCCUAUCACAACAUCAACUAAUACUACGAUAGCAACUACACUCCCAGCAUCUACCUCCACCAUAACCCCAUCAACUACAACUACAGUAACAACUAUACCCCCGGCAUCUACCUCUACCAUAACCCCAUCAAUUACUUCAGAAACAACUACACCCGCAACAUCUACUCUUACCACAACCCCAUCUACAACUCCAAUAACAACUACAACCUCACCAUCAACCCCUAUGACUGUACCAACUUUAUCUCCAAUAACUACCAAGAGUCCUACCUCUACCACAAACCCGACAUCCACAUCCACACCACCUCCACCCAAAGACUGUCCAUAUGUUGAUCCACCAAGAAAGGAUGGUGAUUCUUGGAAGCCAAACAACUGCUCAACUGAUACGUGUGUGAAUGGUACAAUUAUAAAAACGUUUGUGGACUGUGAGGAUGUUGAAGAGCUUGUGUGUGUAAAUGGAUAUCCACCAGCGAAGGUCUACGACGAGUUCGGUUGCUGUUUUCACUAUGAAUGUGAAUGUAUUUGCUCUGGAUGGGGAGAUCCUCAUUACGUCACAUUUGAUGGACAAUAUUACAGUUUCCAAGAGAAUUGCACCUAUGUUUUGGUUAAAGAAAUUGUUCCUCGUUAUAACUUCAGGAUUGAGAUUGACAACUACAACUGUGACAAAUCUGGACUUGUGACCUGUCCUCGGUCUCUGUUUGUCUACUACAAGUCCUAUACAAUUGUUCUCACUCCUAUCAACACGGAAACAACAACUAGUUUGGUUACCAUCAAUGGUAAGCAGGUCUUCCCCACUUAUUCUAAUGAAGACCUCAUGAUCACCAGCACUGGUGUCCAGUUACUGUUGAAGAUCCCAGCCAUUCAAGCAGAAGUGAUGUUCAGGAGUAUUCAGUUCAGCGUUUCCCUGCCUUACUCCCUUUUCCACAGCAACACAGAGGGACAGUGUGGCACUUGUGACAAUAAUAAGGAAAACGACUGCAGAUCUCCAAACGGUCAGAUCGCUCCGUGUCCUGACACGGCCCAUCGGUGGCAGAUUCCUGAUGCCAAUAAAACCUAUUGUAAACCUGCCCCCCCCCCACCACCACCCCCCCCACCACCCCCCUGCCAGCCAGACAGGACAAAGAUCUGUGACAUCAUCAUGAGCCAGGUCUUCAAAUCAUGCCAUGACGUGAUCCCACCGGGACCUUUCUUUGAGGCCUGUAAAUACGAUGUCUGCCACCUGACAAAUAAGACGAUCGGCUGCUCCAGCCUGGAGGCCUACGCCCAAACGUGUGUGAAACAUAGCGUCUGCAUUGACUGGAGGGGAUCAACUAACGGACUAUGUGCAUAUAAAUGCCCUAAACCCAAAGUGUAUAAAGCAUGUGGCCCGGCUAUCCAGCCAACUUGCAAUUCAAGAUACUAUGAGAAGUACAUACAGCCAUGCGAGGGAAUCCCAUCAGACCAAAAAUUUGUGUGUGAUGAAGUCAGGGAGGGCUGUUUCUGCCCAGAGGGAACCAUCUUGUUCAAUACAUACUCUGGCACCUGUGUUAAAAACUGUGGAUGCACGGGACCUGAUGGCACCAAUAAACAGCCUGGCGAGACUUGGCGGAGUAACUGCCUUGAGUGUGAUUGUAACAAAGACACAAUGAGUGUCCAGUGUAGGCCAGUGGUAUGUCCAACACAACAAGUUGUUACUUGUAAGGAGGUUGGUGAGGUGCUGGUCAAGGAAACAGUGGACUGCUGUCAGAAAAACAAAUGUGUGUGUGAUGUGAGUGGCUGUCCACAACCACCCCUCUGCCCACUAGGAACUGAGCUGAAUACAUCAAAGGGAAGUUGCUGCCUGACUUACACCUGCGUUCCCAAAUCUGUGUGUGUCUUCAACAACAAGGAAUAUCAGCCUGGGGAUGUUUGGUCGUCCCCUAGUGAUUCCUGUGUGCAGUAUAAUUGCACAAACAUAAAAGACAAGUUCAUCCCUGUGGAUUCCAAAAUACAGUGUCCAGAUUUCCGUCCAGAAGACUGCAUCCCUGGAACUGAGACGACUGAUGCAAAUGGCUGCUGUGUAUCAUGCACACUAAGUAACUGUGCUGUGAAGAAGAGCACCACCUACCUCCAGGUUCAUGACUGCAGGUCUGUUGUACCAGUGGAGCUGGCAGCCUGUGGGGGAGCCUGUGGAACAUCUUCUAUGUACUCUGCAGUGAAAAUGGGCUUGAUGCACUCCUGCUCCUGCUGUCAGGAGUUGUCGACCAGUGUGAGGCAGGUGGAUAUGGUCUGCUCUAAUGGAAAGAAGACCUCUCAGUCCUAUACUUACAUUAAUAAGUGUGGCUGCAGUGUGACUGAGUGUGACGACAAGCACUAAUGUAUUCUGUUCAAUUUACAGUCUCUUAAAAUGAAUGUAAAAAAAACUUUUUAUGUAAAGAGACAGUCUGUGAUUCAAACACAACAGGGAUAUUCAAUUUGAAAAAAUGGUGAUACCAGUCACAGAUUGACUCUUUUAACUGUAGGACAUAUUAAACACUUUCAUCUAAAUGAUUUGUCUAAACAUAUUAAACUACUUUAACUUCCAUCUCUACUUUAUUAUUAAAAACAAUCUGUUUUUCUAUGCAAACUUAUUAAACUUAUUCAAAGCAUGAA
This is a long non-coding RNA of Esox lucius (northern pike), 5538 nucleotides long. RefSeq annotates it as mucin-2. NCBI's taxonomy places the organism in Eukaryota, Metazoa, Chordata, Actinopteri, Esociformes, Esocidae. The record is from RefSeq and is a predicted model, not a curated record. The transcript has 16 exons.